CCUGUUUGCGUCAGUGCGAGAUGCCCAGCGGAAACUGUUGUGUGUGUGGUGAUCGCAGGACAAACGAGAAUCAUUUCACUGUGUUGGUCUCAGGGAAGGUGUUCCAGGCACCCCAGUGCUUCCAGCGUGUACGCCAUCUCCAAGACCAGAAUCUAGAACGUCUCGCGUCUACAGCCGUAUCUCCGACCAGUGCAUCCUGUGGCAGGUGACGGUGUCGAGUACCUCUCCACACGCGCGCCCGCUCCUGGAGGCCAUCGUGGACAAGCGUAUGCAGG
Molecule: long non-coding RNA, 275 nt
Organism: Pollicipes pollicipes
Lineage: Eukaryota; Metazoa; Arthropoda; Thecostraca; Pollicipedomorpha; Pollicipedidae
Exons: 3
Source: RefSeq, a predicted model, not a curated record